This 205-nucleotide long non-coding RNA is filed under the name Gossypium barbadense (sea-island cotton). RNAcentral's name for it is "long non-coding RNA (GBAR_LNC012385)". Lineage: Eukaryota; Viridiplantae; Streptophyta; Magnoliopsida; Malvales; Malvaceae. The record is from RNAcentral.
CUCGUGUGGCCCUUUUAGCCCAAAUCUCGCCACAUAUAUGAGAUUUACCUAGCCUAGUCCAAUAUUUACUACACAAUCAAACAACUUAUCCAAUUGGGCUUAUAGGCCCAUUGGGCCCGCAUGGCCCCUUUCGGCCUAUCGUGGCCCGAAGUAGCCAUUCUACAACUAGAGUAGUGGGAAAUACACACCUGAUAGGAGAUUGGAG